RNAcentral lists this long non-coding RNA (380 nucleotides) under Olea europaea (common olive). Its description in RNAcentral is "long non-coding RNA (OEUR_LNC001255)". The record is from RNAcentral. Lineage: Eukaryota; Viridiplantae; Streptophyta; Magnoliopsida; Lamiales; Oleaceae.
GUCGGUUCAUGUCAAUUUUGCAUGCUUUUGAGGAAAUGUAUCAAUCUUGAUCGUGAUGAGAAAAAUUCUUGGUGAUAUUGUAAGUUUCUGCUAACCAUUAAGCUAGCCAAUUCCACUCGCAGUACCCACUUUCCUGUGCAUCAGAGUUCCUAAAUUAUAUGUAAUUGCAAAUGUUCCUUGCAUUUCAGGUGCAGACAGCUAAGACGAACAUACUUUUAGCCAUAAGCUUUACUGAUAACUACAUACAAGACAUUCUUACACUUUUCUUGCUUAUUAACUACACAUAUUGGCCUAUCAUCUAACCCAACUGUUAUACGGGGUUGCAAAAUGUUGAUCAGCCUAUAAAUAUUUCAAAGAGUGUGAGAACUCAAUGAGGAACU